Molecule: ribosomal RNA, 341 nt
Filed under: uncultured Bacillota bacterium
Lineage: Bacteria; Bacillati; Bacillota
Description: bacterial SSU rRNA
Rfam family: Bacterial small subunit ribosomal RNA
Source: RNAcentral
GAUGAACGCUGGCGGCGUGCCUAACACAUGCAAGUCGAGCGCGAUUAAUUGGACUGGAGACUUCGGUCAAAGGGAAGAUUAUGAAAGCGGCGGACGGGUGAGUAACGCGUGAGCAACCUGCCCUGUACAGGGGGAUAGCCACUGGAAACGGUGAUUAAUACCCCAUAAACCCACAAGAUCGCAUGAUCAAAUGGGCAAAGUACCAACGGUACAGGAUGGGCUCGCGUCUGAUUAGCUAGUUGGUGAGGCAAUAGCUUACCAAGGCGAUGAUCAGUAGCUGGUCCGAGAGGAUGAUCAGCCACACUGGGACUGAGACACGGCCCAGACUCCUACGGGAGCUG